RNAcentral lists this long non-coding RNA (1336 nucleotides) under Cairina moschata (Muscovy duck). Its description in RNAcentral is "domestica (muscovy Duck (domestic type)) lncRNA (ENSCMMG00000007112.1)". Lineage: Eukaryota; Metazoa; Chordata; Aves; Anseriformes; Anatidae. The record is from RNAcentral.
GGGGGCGCUGAGGGCGGCUGACGGCUGCUUCGUGUCCUCAGGGUGAGAGCGCGGAGAAGCUGCCGAAGCGCCGGGAGAAGCUGAAGCGCCGCGGGCAGGCUGAGGGCGACCAGGCGCAGCCUGAGGAGAGCGGGCUGGGCGAUGGCGAGCUGCAGCCGCCCCUGCCCAAGAAGGCGAAGAAGCGGCUGAAAAGCAGCGGCGGGGCUGAGGAGAGCGGCACCGAGGCGCUGGGCAAACCUUCCUCGGCUCUGAGGGAUGGCGAGGCAGCACAGAGCGUGGCCAACAACGAGGUGGAUGGAGAGCACGACGGCGACUCCGAGGAGCUGACAGAGGAAGCAAGAGAAGGUGCUUUCUCCAACUUUCCUCUCUCCAAAAACACCAUCAACCUUCUCAAAGGUUAGUUAACGUGGCAAAAUAAAUUUCUGUAAGUGUUUGUUGGGAUUGUGCUCUGAUAUCCUUAAGAGCAGAGAUUGAAACCUAAAUCGUCCUGCAUUUUUUAUGCAGUAAGGAUACGCACCCCAGCAGUCACUGUAGGUUCAAAGAACCUGCUGUUAGUAGUCUGAUAAAGUUUUUUAUGUUCAAUUUCAAGGGUACUUAUUUCAGGGUAAAGUUGUUCUUUUUACAGUGUGGUUACUACUGUGUAUACAUUUUAUAGACAGUGUUUUUUUUUCUUACUAGCAUCAUUUGAUUUACCAUGUGUGUUCAAUGCUUAUAUCUGUUCUCUGUAAUAUCACUUCUUAAAUAAGCGUAGUGUAGUUUUGAUUACAAGGGCCUUUCAGCUUCUGUGGAAAGAUUGUCUCUGAUUGUUCUCAUACUUUCGGGCAUUUUCAUCUGUCUUUUAGAUUAGCUUUCUUGUGGAAGUAGGAGCUGUAGAAUUCUUACUGUUUUCUGGGAAGUUGUAUAGUUCUUGUUCCCUAGACAAAAUUAAUAUUGUUGCCUUACAUUUUCCUUGCUCAGAAGCGUCACUGGGGUGCAUUGUUUCGCUUCCAUUCUGCAAAAUGUCUCUGAAUUUUCAGAAUGUUUUCUUAAAACAAACAGCUUCAUCUCAUCCCCUGCCUUCAAAGCCAAGCUACAAUAAAAUCUUGAUCAGUAUCAGAAAAAAACCUAAUAUAUAUAUUUUUCCCUUGGUGUCUUGCACCAAAUGUUAGAAAGAAGGCUCUAUUUCAUUGUGAUUGCUCACCUUUGUCUUUGGGGGUGAAAUACUUCUUGAUCUAGGGUAGGAGUGAAAACAAAUAGGUGUGUGUGUAUGUCUUCUAACACGUACCUCCUGGGCUGUACAGGAUUUGGCAGGAUUUGUCUCACAUACUCAGGCUAGUUCUGUGUGAAGGCUCCUAAU